Molecule: ribosomal RNA, 481 nt
Filed under: uncultured bacterium
Lineage: Bacteria
Description: bacterial SSU rRNA
Rfam family: Bacterial small subunit ribosomal RNA
Source: RNAcentral
AAUGAACGCUGGCGGCGUGCUUAACACAUGCAAGUCGUGCGCGAAGGUGGCUUCGGCCACCGGAGAGCGGCGAACGGGUGAGUAACACGUGGGUAAUCUACCUGGGAGUGGGGAAUAACCUGGGGAAACUCGGGCUAAUUCCGCAUACGUUGGCAGGGUUAUGGCCUUGCCUGGAAAGCUGGCCUCUACUUGUAAGCUAGCGCUCCCAGAGGAGCCCGCGGCUGAUUAGCUAGUGGUGAGGUAAUGGCUCACCAAGGCUGCGAUCAGUAGCCGGCCUGAGAGGGUGAUCGGCCACACUGGGACUGAGACACGGCCCAGACUCCUACGGGAGGCAGCAGUGAGGAAUAUUGGACAAUGGGCGAAAGCCUGAUCCAGCAACGCCGCGUGGAGGAUGAGGGUCUUCGGAUUGUAAACUCCUGUCAGGCGGGACGAAGGGGCGUCGGUAAAUAAUCGGCGUCCUUGACGGUACCGCCAGAGGAAG